RNAcentral lists this ribosomal RNA (267 nucleotides) under uncultured bacterium. RNAcentral describes it as "partial 16S ribosomal RNA". It matches the Rfam family "Bacterial small subunit ribosomal RNA", at positions 73 to 339 of the family's 1533-position model. The record is from RNAcentral.
UUAUCGCUUGCGAUAGAUGGCGACUGGCGAACGGGCGCGUAACGCGUAUGCAACCUACCCUCAACUGGAGAAUAGCCCAGAGAAAUUUGGAUUAAUACUCCAUAGUAUUACAGAUUCGCAUGUUUUUGUAAUUAAAGUUUUAAUGGUUGAGGAUGGGCAUGCGUGACAUUAGUUUGUUGGUGAGGUAAUGGCUCACCAAGACUACGAUGUCUAGGGGUUCUGAGAGGAUGAUCCCCCACACUGGUACUGAGACACGGACCAGACUCC